This 1040-nucleotide ribosomal RNA is filed under the name uncultured bacterium. RNAcentral describes it as "bacterial SSU rRNA". It matches the Rfam family "Bacterial small subunit ribosomal RNA", at positions 8 to 1044 of the family's 1533-position model. The record is from RNAcentral.
AGAGUUUGAUCAUGGCUCAGGAUGAACGCUAGCGGCAGGCUUAAUACAUGCAAGUCGUGGGGCAGCACAGGUAGCAAUACUGGGUGGCGACCGGCAAACGGGUGCGGAACACGUACGCAACCUUCCUUUAAGCGGGGAAUAGCCCAGGGAAACUUGGAUUAAUACCCCAUAAGAUAAUCGGGUGGCAUCACCUGACUAUUAAAGCUCCGGCACUUAAAGAUGGGCGUGCGGCUGAUUAGGUAGUUGGCGGGGUAACGGCCCACCAAGCCGACGAUCAGUAACUGGUGUGAGAGCACGACCAGUCACACGGGCACUGAGACACGGGCCCGACUCCUACGGGAGGCAGCAGUAAGGAAUAUUGAUCAAUGGACGCAAGUCUGAACCAGCCAUGCCGCGUGGAGGAUGAAGGCCCUCUGGGUUGUAAACUUCUUUUAUUGGGGAAGAAGCCCAUCUUUUCUAAGGUGGUUGACGGUACCCAUUGAAUAAGCACCGGCUAACUCCGUGCCAGCAGCCGCGGUAAUACGGAGGGUGCAAGCGUUAUCCGGAUUCACUGGGUUUAAAGGGUGCGUAGGUGGGCAGGUAAGUCAGUGGUGAAAUCUCUAAGCUUAACUUAGAAACUGCCGUUGAUACUAUUUGUCUUGAAUAUAGCGGAGGUGAGCGGAAUAUGUCAUGUAGCGGUGAAAUGCUUAGAUAUGACAUAGAACACCCAUUGCGAAGGCAGCUCGCUACACUACGAUUGACACUGAGGCACGAAAGCGUGGGGAUCAAACAGGAUUAGAUACCCUGGUAGUCCACGCCCUAAACGAUGGAUACUCGACAUCAGCGAUACACUGUUGGUGUCUGAGCGAAAGCAUUAAGUAUCCCACCUGGGAAGUACGACCGCAAGGUUGAAACUCAAAGGAAUUGACGGGGGUCCGCACAGCGGUGGAGCAUGUGGUUUAAUUCGAUGAUACGCGAGGAACCUUACCUGGGCUAGAAUGCAGAUAGACAGAGGGUGAAAGCUUUUUUUUGUAGCAAUACACUUUUCUGUAAGGUGCUGC